GACGAACGCUGGCGGCGUGGAUUAGGCAUGCAAGUCGAACGGUAGGAUACCUUCGGGUAUCUGAAAGUGGCGAACGGGUGAGUAACACGUAGGUGAUCUACCCUCAAGAUUGGGACAACCCAGGGAAACUUGGGCUAAUACCGGAUGAAAGCAGCAGUGAUGUUGUUUGAAAGGUGGCGUAAGCUGCCGUUUGGGGAUGAGCCUGCGCUCUAUUAGUUAGUUGGCGGGGUAAAGGCCCACCAAGGCGAUGAUAGAUAGGCGGCCUUAACGGGUGGUCGCCCACACUGGGAUUGAGAUACGGCCCAGACUCCUACGGGAGGCAGCAGUCGAGAAUAGUCUACAAUGGCCGAAAGGCUGAUAGUGCGACGCCGCGUGAACGAAGAAGCCCUUCGGGGUGUAAAGUUCUUUUAUAUGUGAGCAGUGCUUUCUAUGUGAACAGCAUGGGGAGAGAGAUAUUAGCAUAUGAAUAAGCAACGGCUAACUCCGUGCCAGC
This 493-nucleotide ribosomal RNA is filed under the name uncultured bacterium. Its description in RNAcentral is "bacterial SSU rRNA". It matches the Rfam family "Bacterial small subunit ribosomal RNA", at positions 28 to 512 of the family's 1533-position model. The record is from RNAcentral.